Molecule: RNase P RNA, 366 nt
Filed under: Pleurocapsa minor GSE-CHR-MK 17-07R
Lineage: Bacteria; Bacillati; Cyanobacteriota; Cyanophyceae; Pleurocapsales; Pleurocapsaceae
Also listed under: 1 other name
Description: Pleurocapsa minor GSE-CHR-MK-17-07R (algae metagenome) RNase P RNA component class A
Rfam family: Bacterial RNase P class A
About the family: Ribonuclease P (RNase P) is a ubiquitous endoribonuclease, found in archaea, bacteria and eukarya as well as chloroplasts and mitochondria. Its best characterised activity is the generation of mature 5'-ends of tRNAs by cleaving the 5'-leader elements of precursor-tRNAs.
Source: RNAcentral
CAGGGGACGUCAGGCGAUCGCGGCGCUUCGGCGCUGAGGAAAGUCCGCCCUCCACAGGGCAGCGGUGCCGGCUAACGGCCGGGCGGGGCAACCCGACAGACAGUGCAACAGAGAAGUGUAUUGCCGUGGGGCAACCUGCGGCGAGGGUGAAACGGUGGUGUAAAAGACCACCAGCGGCGCUGGUAACAGCAUCGGCUUGGCAAACCUCACCGGGAGCAAGGCAAACAGACGCAUUGGGGCGGCCCGUCCCGCAAAAAGCGUCGGGUAUGCUGCAUGACGCGCAGAGUAAUCUGCGUGCUAGAGAGAUGAUCGUCCGUGUGGGCUUCGGCCUGCACACAGAAGGCGGCUUAUCGACCCCCCUGGGCG